UCUUUUCUAAUUUAUUAUUUUUUAUCUGCAGCAGUGAGCCUUAAAUAGCAAUUUUGAGGCAGGACUUGAAGCCCAGAUCUUCUCAAAGAGACCAGAAAUGGCUGGCUUGUGUUCACUCAGAACAUAAAGAACUGUGCCAAAUUCAAAGUCAGCGUGAGGAGCUAUAACUUUGCCAGCUUCAAUGAAAUGGAAUGUUAUUUUUGGACGUAGAACUAUGUGGAUUCCAAGGGGAAAAUGGAACAGAGCCAAUUCUGCGGUGAAAUGAGUGUAGAAGACAGCACGGUCACUGCAGUGUGUGACAGAGCUGGAGCUCCUGAAAGAGGCAAAGCACAGAAGACAGAGGAUACUGCUUUGGAGACUGCGAUGAAGGCUUUCUUGCUGCACUGGCUCAUAUGACAAUGAAGGAUGUGUUUUGGGGCCCCAUCAUGCAGAAAGAGAAGUGGUAUUAAGCUGAAGAGUAGGUGCUGUGCCCUCAAGCAAGAUUACUAUGAGACUGAGGCCUUGAUGAGCAUAUCUCCACUCCCUGUCUCCUUCCCAAGUACAACCCAGUGCCAUGCUUCUCUCCUGCUUUCUGUCCAGAUGCUAUUUUCCACAGAAAUGCUCCUCUUUCUUCUUGCUUAAGUUUGCAGUGAAUGGAUGUAAACCAAAAGGACAAAACAGUUAAUGAGUGUUUGCCGACGUUUGUUUUUUGUAAAGGUGGGAGAAAUAAAAUGUAGCCACACCAGUGAACUGCCUGGACGAGGCAUGCUUCCGUAAUUGCUUUGGAUGCACGCGCUGGUUCCUCAAGUCAACAGAGGAUCCCAGCAGAGCCAGAUGCCACAGGAUACACAGUAUGCCAAUGAGGUAUGGUAUGAAGAAUCAGCUGAGCAACUUUGGGAUAGCAGCACUAUUUAGGAAUGAAGUCUGAAAGGCCUCUCAAAUGGUGCUCAUGAGACCUCCAUCCUGGCAAUUAUUGUGUCUUCAGUUUAAGCUGUGUAUUUCUCACAAAUUAUGUUUAAGAAAUCAUAUUCAUAUUCUCAUGUUUAUUGGGGCUGCUUUUAGGUGUCUGCCUGCCUGUAAAACCAAGUGUUCUUAUGCCAGAAGUGCAAUGCAAGGGCAUCUUCAAGGGGACAGAUAACUAACAUGAUAACUAACCUCAAGAAAUGCCCAAAGUAACUGUCUACAAGUUAUAAACCUACAUAUUCAGGAAUUUGAUCUCUCUUAGCCUGGGACAUGGUACUUGUAUAAGCCUUGGUAAUGUGUUGAGAAAAGUGAACUCUGUGAUGAUUAAGAACUGUUAUUUUCUCUGUAUGUAGGUCAUGACUUGAACAGGGCUUGUCACUACUCAAAGAUUAAAUGUUAAUAUUCAGUCUUGUAGGUAAACUCUGUUUUUUCCACCCACGUGAAAAACACGUGUUCAUGUAAAUUUGUAGUUUUAAACAGUGGUUAUUUCGAUAACGGAUGUCUUUAAAAGAUGUCUGGUUCUAUAAAUCUCAACAAGAUUUAAAAAUCAAUCAAAGUCUGAAAACUAUAUACUCUCUGCAAACCUAAUGAAUGCGUGUCUCUGAGAAAUUUCAGCUUGCAUUAUAUUUUGAAUUAAUUGGCAAACAGUUACAUAAAGAGAUCAUAUUAAGGUCUCUGAAGAAGGAAGCUGGGUUAAGGAUGAGCUUUCAUCUUUUAAAUCUGCUUUUACUGACUUUUUAAAAGCUUGAUUUGUCAAGAUGUAGUUGACUCUACUGUUUUGUGUAUAGAUUUUCUUUCAUUGUUUUUCUUUUAAAUAAAGAGAGGGGGAAAAGCCAAUAUAACAUCAAAGCAUUAAAAUAAAGAGCUCUAAGGGAGGAAAAGAGAGAUGUUUAGAUUAGGUGAAUGAGGGAAGCAAAGGUGUGGGGGAGAUAUCAUGUAAAUAAAGACAUAGCAGUGAACUGCUCUAAUGAGACACAAGGCUAAUUAAAGAAAAGGAAUAGAUUUAAUUAUCCUCAGAUGUUUUACAAGGCAUCAGAAUGAGGCUAGCUGAAAUCUCAGUCCUGCUGUAAGUCCAAAUUCCUUUUUUCCUGUCUUUUCCUAUGAAGGAGCUCAGAUCCCGCCUGAGAUCUGGCCUCACGAAUCGUGUACUGUUUUCCUUCUGGUGACACUGUUUCGAGAGGUAUGGUGUGUAUUGUUUUCCUGGCCCUGCUUUCCACCUGAUGUUGAGGCAAAUGUAUCAGAGACCUGGGUUGCAAACAACUUGCAGCCUCUGCUCUGCCCACUUCUUCCUGGAUGUUCCCUAUUUUGGGACUCAACUUGUGGGCCAUAGUACCAUUCCCUGUAAAUCUGAGCCCACUUCAGAAGAAAGUGCAUGUUCCUUGACCCAUCCUGGGUCAUCCUUGCUAUCCUGGGUGGAGAUAGCAGCUGGGACCUCAUCUGUAUCUCUCAGGCUAUGCACUAGCCUAAAUGGAUGUUGUUCCUUGAGUACCCUGAGGAAAGGAUAGAGAAUAAAUGGAAAUGCGAGUUGUUUGAACUGUGCUGAAUAAAGGUGACAAGGUUGCUGUUCUACGCAUAAGAUGCAAAAGAUUCAUCAGUCAAAUUCAGAGGCAUCUAGCUCUGCCUAUCACAGAACCUCGGCAUGUACUGUAAAGCUGUAGGGUCUCUGGGGAUGAGGUGCCUGAAUAUUAGGCUUUGCAGCCCCUAACUCAUCAGUGCCUAAAUGCUUCAAUGGCUCAAAUGUGCAAGUCCGAGAACCUAUGAGGGCUUGGUCCUCCCCUCCUGAAAAGGAAACAGUUUUCUGAAAACCAGGCACUUUCGCAUUGCAGGCUAGGCCUGGCUGGGAAUAUGUGUGUUUGCAACACAGAGGCACAGGGACUGCUUCUGUAGAAGGCAGUGACAACCCCUCUGUUGCCUUCUGUGGUCCAGAUCACUGUUGACCUGCUCUGUUAUCAUCAAAAAGAAAUAAAUCUAUGACAAGUUCAGCUUUCAGACAAGAUGCUUUUUUCCCCUCUUCACCCCCUCCUCCUUCCAUUCCUCUUGUCCUCCAAAGAAAACUUGUGCCUGCUCACCUCUUUUGCUGCCUUGGCACUGUAUUAGAAUACUUGCAGCAAAAGGAAAGAAAGGAAAAUCCUGAAAGCCAUGUUUUUUCCCUGUAAGUUGGCACCAUUGCUUCAGCUUUCAUCAGCGGGAGCAGCGUGCCAAUCUCACGCCAGCACAAACAGAUGUGACUCUAGAGCUUUGAGUGUCCAAUGAAAGAAGCAUUACUUGCAGAACUAUGCUCUGAAAGCGGCCAAAUUCACUGGCCUUAGGAUUUUCCAUUGAGACGGACAGUUUCUCAGAGCUUUGCUUCAAGGUGCCUGGGUUUUGGGUUUACUUAUUUAUUUAUUUUCCCUUUCUUUAUGUGCUGACAUUAUUCCAACAUUCAGCAUACGAUUUCUGUUUCAUAAGAAUGUUAUCAGACCAGGGUAAGUGCAUGGGAAAGCUGUUUGCUGCUCUCUGAAAACUGCUAUAUACAUAAUGCAGGACUGUAUAUAUAGAUGGGAUGAAAUGUAUUCCACAUGCAUUGGGAGCUCACGUGUAUUGAGAAUUUGUUCAACAGAUAAACUGUAUUUUAAU
Molecule: long non-coding RNA, 3558 nt
Organism: Dromaius novaehollandiae (emu)
Lineage: Eukaryota; Metazoa; Chordata; Aves; Casuariiformes; Dromaiidae
Exons: 6
Source: RefSeq, a predicted model, not a curated record